RNAcentral lists this ribosomal RNA (1173 nucleotides) under Triticum aestivum (bread wheat). Its description in RNAcentral is "partial small subunit ribosomal RNA". Lineage: Eukaryota; Viridiplantae; Streptophyta; Magnoliopsida; Poales; Poaceae. The record is from RNAcentral.
AUGACCGAGACACCUCUCUGGCCAAUAACCGACAGCGGGAUCUGGAUACCCAUGUUGGCUCCCACAUAUUCCAUGAUGAUCUCAUCAGAUGAACCACGAUGUCGAGGAUUCAAUCAAUCCUGUAUUCAAUUCCCUUUGUCAAUCGGGCAUAUUUCCAACAGCGGAGUCGUCAGCCAUGAAAACAAGCGCGUCGAGAUGGAUCUCGCGGCCCUCAGCCAAACCUCCGCCGGAAACCAUGAUGAUAGGACUCAGAGAAAUCGCAACCUCACCGGAAAGUCGCUAAGACACCUGCCCCACGGACAGCGCCCCUCUGAUCCGCCCUCCUCCCCUCGCCAGGCGGCCACGCCAUUUUUAUCCAGGUCUGUGAAGCUAGUGUCGUCGCGCGCCAAGCCCCUGGAGGUUGACGUUGCAGAGGAGGACCCGCGGAUGAGCUCGUCGGCCGACAACACGGUGUACUGCUGCAUUGCCAAGGGGAACAAGGUCAUAUACAGCUACAGCAGCAAGGAUGGUGACUCGCAGACCGAGGCCACGGCGGCGCUCUGCCUCGAGAACGUGCCUCCCUACCACCGGCAUUACAUCCACACUUCGGGGUCGAGGAGCUACGGCUAUCUGAUGGCAGACGGGCACACCUUUUUCGCCAUCAUCGACCCGAGCGUCGGGCAUGUGGGUGCCUUGCAGUUCCUGGAGCGUGUGCAGGAUGAGUUCAGGAACACGAAUAGGAAUGGGUUCCAUGACGCUCUGGUUCCGGCUGUCCAGAGGCUGGUUGCUUCACUGGAGAAGAUGCCCCGUGCCGCACUUGUUCCUGAGGGUGGUGCGCAAAGGGGAGGGUCGAAUGGCAGCUCGGGCUGCACAUCGUCGAAGGCGCCUCUUCUUGGAAAAGGCAGUGGCAGGAAGGAUAAGAAGAAGGCAAAGGAGAAGGGGAUGCCUAUGGGGGAUGGCGACGAUGAGCACCAUGGCACAAGAGGUUUGAGAAUUGAUGUGCAGCCAGAGGAUGUUGGCGGCAUGUCAUUGGAGCGCAGCACAAGCCAAUCCAGGCUACGGAGGCAGCAGUCGUCGCGGUCACUGUGGAUGCGCCAUGUGAAGAUCAUCAUCAUUGUUGAUGUUCUUGUUUGUGUGGUAUUGUUUGCUGCUUGGCUUGCAGUCUGCAAGGGUUUCCAGUGUGUGUCCGGGUGA